CUGGCGGCGUGCCUAACACAUGCAAGUCGAACGAGAAAGUGGAGCAAUCCAUGAGUAAAGUGGCGACCGGGUGAGUAACACGUGACUAACCUACCUCCGAAUGGGGAAUAACUCCGGGAAACCGGGGCUAAUACCGCAUAACACCGCAAGGUCAAAGCAGCAAUGCGUUUGGAGAGGGGGUCGCGGCUGAUUAGCUAGUUGGCGGGGUAACGGCCCACCAAGGCGAAGAUCGGUAUCCGGCCUGAGAGGGCGCACGGACACACUGGAACUGAAACACGGUCCAGACUCCUACGGGAGGCAGCAGUGGGGAAUUUUGCGCAAUGGGGGAAACCCUGACGCAGCAACGCCGCGUGGAGGAUGAAGUCCCUUGGGACGUAAACUCCUUUCGACCAAGACGAUAAUGACGGUACUGGUGGAAGAAGCACCGGCUAACUCUGUGCCAGCAGCCGCGGUAAUACAGAGGGUGCAAGCGUUGUUCGGAAUUAUUGGGCGUAAAGGGCGCGUAGGCGGUGCCACAAGUCACUUGUGAAAUCUCCGGGCUUAACUCGGAGCCUGCAGGCGAAACUGUGGUGCUGGAGUAUGGGA
RNAcentral lists this ribosomal RNA (585 nucleotides) under uncultured bacterium. RNAcentral's name for it is "bacterial SSU rRNA". It matches the Rfam family "Bacterial small subunit ribosomal RNA", at positions 36 to 653 of the family's 1533-position model. The record is from RNAcentral.